Molecule: ribosomal RNA, 243 nt
Filed under: uncultured bacterium
Lineage: Bacteria
Description: partial 16S ribosomal RNA
Rfam family: Bacterial small subunit ribosomal RNA
Source: RNAcentral
GUCCACGCUGUAAACGAUGUCGACUAGCCGUUGGGACCUUUAAGGACUUGGUGGCGAAGUUAACGCGAUAAGUCGACCGCCUGGGGAGUACGGCCGCAAGGUUAAAACUCAAAUGAAUUGACGGGGGCCCGCACAAGCGGUGGAGCAUGUGGUUUAAUUCGAAGCAACGCGAAGAACCUUACCUACCCUUGAAAUCCUGCGAACUUACUAGAGAUAGUUUGGUGCCUUCGGGAACGCAGUGAC